Long non-coding RNA from Salvelinus namaycush (lake trout), 1758 nucleotides. RefSeq lists it as uncharacterized. The record is from RefSeq and is a predicted model, not a curated record. The transcript is spliced from 2 exons. Lineage: Eukaryota; Metazoa; Chordata; Actinopteri; Salmoniformes; Salmonidae.
GAACGCUGCGCACACUUGUCUCCAGCGGUCUGUGCGUCGGUAAAAGGAACAGGCCGACCGCCACAGCAGUGAGGCGCCUGUUUUCUCUCCAGGCGACCGGGUCUGGCUCUCCAUCUGGAACCUGCCCCUCUGCCUGCCUUGCCGGAAGCUGAGCCCACGGCCAGCGGUGCCUGGUCCCCUCGCUGAGGCUGGUCCAGUGAUUCCCCGCUUCCUCUGGACAUCGAGGGAGGUCCUGCGUGCCGGGUCCAUGAGGUCCUGGAUUCGAGGCGUCGGGUGGGCCGUCUCCAGUACCUCAUCGACUGGGAGGGGUAGGGCCCAGAGGAGUGGUGCUGAGUUCCUGCGGUGGACAUCCUGGACGCUUCGCUGACCAGGGAUUUUCCGACCUGCACUGCGUCCCUGUGGUCAUCCCCGAGGCUGGUGCAGCACGUCGGGCGGGGGGUAUUGUCACGGAUUCCCCCGGGACUGCUGCUCAUUCCAUUCACCAGCUCCGGAGGUCUGCGUCACUGGCCUUCUAGGUGACGCUGAACUAGAUCAUUACCACCAACCCCGGACUGUCUGGUCUCAUUAUGCACACCUGGUUCCCAUUCCCCCUGAUUAGUAUAUGUGCCCUCUGUUCCCCAUUGUCCUUGAUGAUUAUUGUUCCAUGUCCGUUGGUCUUGUGAUUACCUGUGCUCUGUUGUAUCGGCUUUCGUGUUACCCUGUUAGUGUGUUCUUGUUAUUACGGGUCUCGUCCCGUGUAUUGUUAUUCCUGUGUAUUUAUUAGAGGUUUACAACUCACUCUUUGUUUGGGAUACAACCCUGUGUUAUUUAUAUACACGUGUUUGUUUUUGGGCUUCGUUCCUGUCAUGUUCAUGACGUACUCUAUUCUGGGUAAAUUUCGUAUACCUGCACCUGUCUCCUAUCAUUAUGCAAUGUGACAAUGGCAAUCCUCAUUACGCACACCUGAGCCCCAUCCUGAAGCACACCUGGACUUCAACACUGCCCAGAUUACUAUCUCUUUAUCUGGCGUUCCGUGGCAACAAUCUUCAGGCAAUAUUGUAUCUGUGUUCAUGUUCAGUCAUUUCUCUUGUUUUGUAUCGCUCUAUGUUCAGUAUUAUUAUUCAACUCUGCUUCUUUACUCUCAUCGUCAUAGCUACAACCUUGUAGUAUUAUGUUCUUUCAAUUAGUAGUACUACCAACAAUACGAUGGGCAAUAUUUUUGUCUGGUACAAAGCGCCAAAAAUACUGCAAACCUCAGACUCAGGGAUUUUAUUUACAAUUUUUGUUCAACAAUUUCCCUUAAAAUUAGACAAUUAUUUAAGUAGAGUUUAAAAACCUGAGCAAUACAUAAAUAGUUUCCUCUUUAUAAUGCACAUUGUUGCACAAGUUCUAAAUUUAAUGGUAAUAAUAUCAAUAAACUAUCUGUUGAUAAAUAACAGACAGUUAGGUUCAGAGUAAGCGUUAAGGUUAGGGUCAAGUUUAUGGCUAGGUUAAGGAUAGGUUUAGUACUGUAGAUAGUUAGUUGAAAUGUUACUGGUAGUCUGUAAUGCAUCUAUCCAAAUGAAAUCGUACAGAGAUUACAAUGAGGUUUACUGAAUUUUUUGCACGUUGUACAAUGAUUUUGCAUCUUAUACCACCACUGUUGUUGUAACAUCUUAUCAGAUUACAAUGAUCUGAUGGUUGAACUUACCAGACUGGAGCACGAUAGAGGUAGUUUUGUAUUGUUCAGCUUUAGGACAUGUGUUUUUCAGGCUGAUAAAAUCUACUUAUACCUUGUCA